GACGAACGCUGGCGGCGUGCUUAACACAUGCAAGUCGAACGGAAAGGCCCUGCUUUUGUGGGGUGCUCGAGUGGCGAACGGGUGAGUAACACGUGAGUAACCUGCCCUUGACUUUGGGAUAACUUCAGGAAACUGGGGCUAAUACCGGAUAGGAGCUCCUGCUGCAUGGUGGGGGUUGGAAAGUUUCGGCGGUUGGGGAUGGACUCGCGGCUUAUCAGCUUGUUGGUGAGGUAGUGGCUUACCAAGGCUUUGACGGGUAGCCGGCCUGAGUGGGUGACCCGCCACAUGGUGACUGAGACUCAGCCCAGACGCCAACGGGAGACAGCAGUGGAGAAUAUAGCAAAGUAGGCGGAGGCCAGAUGCAACAACGCCGCGUGCGAGAAGACGGCCUUCGGGUAGUAAAACGCUUUCGCCUAUAUCGAAGCGUGUGUAACGGAAAUGGGUAAAGAAGCACCGGCUACUUACGU
Molecule: ribosomal RNA, 467 nt
Filed under: uncultured bacterium
Lineage: Bacteria
Description: partial 16S ribosomal RNA
Rfam family: Bacterial small subunit ribosomal RNA
Source: RNAcentral